Molecule: non-coding RNA, 301 nt
Filed under: Proteus penneri
Lineage: Bacteria; Pseudomonadati; Pseudomonadota; Gammaproteobacteria; Enterobacterales; Morganellaceae
Source: RNAcentral
UCUCCUGAUUAUGUUUAUCAGGUAUAUUUAUGAAAAUUUUGUUUGUUUGAUUUUCAAAAUGCAGCAAUGGCGUAAGACAUAGUCGAAAAUCAAACAAUUUAGUAUGCCACAAAUACAUCGCUUAUUGAGUUGAAACAUCGUUUUCAAUUAAACAGUGCUGAAUUUUUGAACUGAAAAUCAGACUCACCGACAUAUUGCAUCUCUAUACAAUCGACAACCGUGAGGUUGACGCAUCUGUAAAAGACACGAGGUCAUCGGUUAUCAAUAGUGUAAUUACGUAUGUUAGUGGCACAUUAUAAAA